AUAACGACUCUCGGCAACAGAUAUCUA
RNAcentral lists this ribosomal RNA (27 nucleotides) under Melaleuca adnata. Its description in RNAcentral is "partial 5.8S ribosomal RNA". Lineage: Eukaryota; Viridiplantae; Streptophyta; Magnoliopsida; Myrtales; Myrtaceae. The record is from RNAcentral.